AUUGCCUCCAAUUGGUUGUCUUCCAGUUCAAAUGACUACAGAAUCUCCACUUAUCAGAACUUUCAUAGAGAAUGAGAAUUCUGAUGCUCAACUUUUUCUAUCGACAGGGAAUUAAUUGAGUUUAGCUCAUUUAUUGACAUUUGAGUUUUCAAUUUUGUUACCUUUUAUGACUGUGUUCUUGAUGUUUUCUCUGUCAAAGUUA
RNAcentral lists this long non-coding RNA (202 nucleotides) under Nicotiana benthamiana. RNAcentral's name for it is "long non-coding RNA (NBEN_LNC000058)". The record is from RNAcentral. Lineage: Eukaryota; Viridiplantae; Streptophyta; Magnoliopsida; Solanales; Solanaceae.